GUGCAGUGGCUGUUCACAGGUGUGAUCAUGGCACGCUGCUUCUCAAACUCCUGGCCUCAAGUGACCCUCCUGCCUCAGUCUCCUGAAGAGUUGGGAUUACGGAGUGCACAGCCUUGUUUGUUUUAGAAGAAAGGACACAGAAGAUUAACCAGAGAAGGAAAAAGCAUGCGGUCUGGAAGAAGAUGUGAACAUUCAUGUUGUAAGCAAUGGGGAGAGACAAUUGGAGUGAGACCCAGGCAUAGGCAACUGGAAUGUGUGCCCCACAGAGGAGGCAGCUUGCGAAGGGGGAGCUUCCUGCUGAGGAAGUUCACUGAGGGAAUACAGACAGCAUCAUCAGAGAUGAGGACUUGCUAUACUGCCCAGGCUGGACAUGAACUCUUUGCCUCAAAGGAUCCUCCCACCUCAGCCUCUCAAAAUACUGAGAUUACAGGUGUGAGCCACCGUGUCUGGCCUGUAUUUGGACAGUUGUUGCAGCAAAGAUGGAAUAAUCAUAUCUUCCCUACAGAGUUCCUGUGAGAAUUCUAGGUGAAAGCCCUUUUAAGUGAUCAAGGGUGAGCUGUCUGUGUGUGUGUGUGUGUAUCAUGACCUAGUUGCUACUAAGGCCUUUGUGUGUAUCAGUGUGCUUCUGCAGCAUGUACUCGUGGUUUUUGUUCCUCUUUUCUCUUACCUUCUUGAUUAGGUUUGUUCUCUUAUUAAAUGAUAUAGUACGUGCAAAAUGCCUGACAUAGCACCUAGAAUCAGGGUUUGUGUGUUAACAGGUAUAAUUGCUAGCGCUGUACCUUCUUUCCCCCCAUAUCUCCAUCUCUUCCCACUGGCUAUCUAUGGUCUGUGGGUGAACCAAGGGACAUUCCUCCUUUGUCAUGAACUUUCAGAGGACUGAUGACUCCCGAGCCUGACUUACAGUCUUUUAAUUCUGGGCAAGACACAACUUGGGGGCCUAAUUGUGAAGUUGAUAAAGCUUAGGUUUUGAAAUCACCAGCUGAAUCAGCAUAAUCUCCACUGCUCAUUUUGCAAAAUCCUACAAGGUGUGGCAUUAGCUAAGAUAUUUAUAAUCAAUGCAGCUGCCUUUCCGUUAGAAAGCAUUGACUCAGACAUCAAAUCUGUGAUAUUUAUUUAGUUCUCAGAAGACUGGCUUUUUACACAUGACCUUUGAGUAUUUACUUAUGAAGGAGUUCAGAAAAUGCUGCCCCCAAAUAUGCUGCUUUGGCAGACUUGUUACUUCAAACUGAGGGUGCUUGGGGAAGAGCAAUUGCAAGAAGGAGCUUUCUCUGAA
Long non-coding RNA from Macaca mulatta (Rhesus monkey), 1273 nucleotides. RefSeq lists it as uncharacterized. The record is from RefSeq and is a predicted model, not a curated record. NCBI's taxonomy places the organism in Eukaryota, Metazoa, Chordata, Mammalia, Primates, Cercopithecidae.